GCGCUCGUAGCUCAACGGACAGAGCAUCUGACUACGACUCAGAGGGCUGGAGGUUCGAAUCCUCCCGAGCGCA
This 73-nucleotide transfer RNA is filed under the name Nocardia cyriacigeorgica. RNAcentral's name for it is "tRNA-Arg". It matches the Rfam family "tRNA". From Rfam's summary of the family: Transfer RNA (tRNA) molecules are approximately 80 nucleotides in length. Lineage: Bacteria; Bacillati; Actinomycetota; Actinomycetes; Mycobacteriales; Nocardiaceae. The record is from RNAcentral. RNAcentral also lists the same sequence under 1 other name.